Molecule: long non-coding RNA, 3977 nt
Organism: Athene cunicularia (burrowing owl)
Lineage: Eukaryota; Metazoa; Chordata; Aves; Strigiformes; Strigidae
Exons: 2
Source: RefSeq, a predicted model, not a curated record
CUGAAGUAGAUUAAGACUUGCAUUUGAGACCAGAGUAAUGAAGGAAGUUCCUGUUUGGAUUUAACAGUAUUAAAAUUUUGUCAUUACUAAAAUUUUUGUCAUUACUUCUGGAGUGUUGUCCAAGGGUAUGGCAUUUUCAUAAGCAUGUCUGAUUAUAUUCAGGCCUUUAAAAUAUUGCUUCAUACAAUUUAUGACUGAAAAAACUAAGAUUUUUAAACCUGGGAAAGAACUGAUUGAACAGAACUAGGACAGAAGUCAAAAAAGUCAUAAGCAGCAUGAAGAAGAUAAAUAAUGAAUACUCAUUCCUUGUCUUUUCCAAGAUAAAUAUUGGGAGGCACUAAAUGACACCAGCCAGUGACAGGUACACACAGAAAGUAAACAAGCUGUGGAAGUCACAGUCCCAGAGUAGAGCAGAUGCCCAGACGGCAUGUGGGUCCAAACAAGAAUUAGAAAAAUUUAAGAAAAAUCCAUCAAAGAUUAUGGGUCUUGAGGGGAAAUUCUUUUCAGAAAGCCCUUGAAUCUGCAAUUGUCAGGGACUAGAAUAUCCUGAGUUAUCAUCUUGAGAAAUUCACCUGCGUUUUAAAAUCCUCCCUGAGCAUUUACUCUUGUCCUGGGCCAGACAACAGAAGAGAUGAUCUCUGAGGUCUGAUUCAUGACUGACUGAUUUAUAAUUUUAACCUCCAGCUUCUGUGUCCAGAUCCUUGAGAAAUGCUUUCAUGUGAACAAUUUAGGAAAUGAUACAACAAAAGGUACUAAUGCUUCCUCGCCUUUAUAUCCUUAGGCCAUUAACGCUGAAGCAUCAUUUGUUGUAUUAGGAAAGCACACAGUCCAAAUUUUUACUUUCAGGUAUUCCAGAACAGGAAUAACUAAACUGAGAGACAGAAUAUUACCUAAUUAUCAGACAUUUUGAAAAAGAUUACUGCUUUAAUAAUCACCUUAUGUCAGUAACACAGAAUGUUUUCCAAUUACAUACAUACUAAGUUCUAGACAGAAAAAUCACAUUUUAAAUAUGGCCAGCAAAGCAUUUGGAUAAUUGUAAGACUCUCAGGGUAUUUCCUAAUUACAGAAAAAAAAACUAGCAAUGAAACUCAGCUCAAAGUUCAGUACACAGGUAAAGUAGCUUAUUAAUCUAAUGAGUCUGUGGGGCUGUUAAUAUUUGGUAGCUGUUUCUUGAGCAUUACAUGAACUGAUGGAAGUUACAUUACAGCCCAUAACGAUAUUGCUCUAAACUUUUAUUGCUCCCUACACUCCAAAACAACAUAACAUUUUAAUAAACUGUGAAACUUCAAGAUGAUUAUGUAAAAGUUGCUCCAUAGUUGGAAGUAGAAAAUGAAAGACUUUCCCAUUAUUUGUUAAAGUGUAACAAGUUUGAAAUCAGGUGCUAAUCUGCUGCAUGUACUUCUGGUAUGAAUAAGGAAGAAUAAAUGAAGCAGUGCUGGUAUGUUAGGGCUGUAAAUCUUGCUAUUAUAUUCAAUACAAGCCAUCAACACAGCAUCUGAAUUAAUGAACAGAAAAUUGGUCUGCUUAAGAGAAGAACAAAUUGAUCUGCAUUAUAUUCCAAGCAAAACACUGUGAGGUUUAGAUGGUCUGUAAGUCGUAUUAUCUUAGUCCUCAAAAGAAUCAAUGACAAUAUUCUGGACUUCUGUUUUGAAAUGUGUGAUUUGUUCCAGUGCAAGAGCAUUUAUUUAAACGGGACAUACCUCAAUCAAAGACAAAAAGCAAUGCAGCAAUCUCUGUCUGUAAUGAAUUCUGUCCAGCGAGCUGAUGAGAAUUUGCAGCCUGAUUUAUAGUUGUCACCACAGCUGAUAAAGGUCAUCACUGCAUCUCAUUUUUUAUACUUGCCUUUCUUUGGGGUUGCUGUUCAGCGUAAAUGAUGCUGAAAAUUGUAACUUUCAGGCAUAAAGCCAUUUAUUCUAUUUCUUUAACAUCAGAGUUCACUUCGCCAGCUCCUCCCCUUCUUUUAACUUCCAGGAAAUUGUCUGGUUGGUAGAACAUAUUACGUGUCUGUGAGUGUAGACACAGAUAUGUAGUCACGCUCACAAAAGUGACUGAUUACAGAAAGCAGUGAUUACUAGAAAUAAUGGAGCAGCCUUGGUGCUGUACAGAGUCAGCAUAGAGGAAUGGAAGAGCCUUGGCAGAAGGUUUUAAAAAUCUGAUAAGCAGAACAGAUGAAAUCAGAAAACCCAAGACCAAUGAUAUACUUGCAGUGUCAGAGUUUUCCAGAUUCUUUGUGCACAGCUUUUUUUUAAUUCAGUCAGGAAAUAUGCAAGCAGAGAAAACGGUUCUAAUGACAGAGAGCUCAGGUCCCUUGCAGUCACUGAGCUCUCACCAGGAACAGCACACAUGUAGAUUCACUUAGCCAGGCAGCUCUGCCCUCUGGCCUCUUUUUUAGGGUGAAACAAGAUAAAAUGUUGGGAUUUUUCUUAAGAAAAUAAUGCAUUAUACACUGUGGCCCCAAUGCGGGUUUUGCAUUUUCAGGUGUGCUACCUUGCAAACCCUUUCCAAGGUUUUACCAUCAGAAAAGGCAUGGGGUCUCUGGAAACUUGCCCACUGGUGCUGCUGUGGUGCUGAACCUGGAACUGGCAGUUGAAACUCAGGAGAAAGAUCAUAAGGCCAUCACAAAUAUCAUUUGGGACUCCAAAUCAUCAGCUCAAUAUGAAGAGGCAGCCUAAACAGCCAACAAAAUGAUGGACACCAUCAAGAGAGAAAGAAAGCAUUGUUCCUUUGCCAUGAUUUAAAACAUGGGAGCACAAAAAUUCAUGGACAACUGAUAAACUGACAAAUAUUAAAGGAAAUAGGUGGGAUAUAUCAUCUAUUAUCACUAAUGCAGGGCUGCCUCAUUAUGGACUUCUAAAAGGGGCCAGGCUCAAGUACAACACAGCAUCAGCUAUUGCUGUGGUUAGCUCUUGUCUGAGUCAACACAGCUUUUUACAUUGCUAUGUGUCAGACUGGGCACGAGGAUAAAUAGCUCAUCACAGUGGACUAGAAGGUCUGGGACAAUUUUGCUGCUAGAAAGACUAAGUUUGAGUGCUGAUGGUGCAAAGAAGCUGAAGGAAUUACAUCCACCUACAGGAACACAGAUUUGCAUUAGCGUCAGUGCUCAUGAAUUUAUUGCUGUACAGCUUCUCUGACGAGACUAACUAAAUGAGCCUCCGGAUACCAGCAUGACUGACAAGGCUGGCAAACAGAUUAUGCUGUGUCAAGAGAGCAGAAGGCAGCAUGCCCCGUGAGAGCCUGCAUUGCUCCCUGGGGACCGAGGUCACACUGCACCAGGCCAUGUGCACUGCUGAGAUGGAGCUCUGUGCUGGCACAGCGAAUGUCACAGGGCCACCAAGAGAGGAUUGGAACUCUUCUGUUAUUUCUCAUCCCUGCUGCUGUAGGAAGGUCCUUGCUAGACCUGACCUCGGGCAUGACCCACGGCAGCUGGCAGGCAGUUUGCAUCUGAUGGGCUUUACAGUGGUGUUAGAAACCCGGAAAGAGUUCUCUGAGCUUUCCACUAUAUUCUAUUCAACCCCAAGAAGCCAAUUACUGCAGCUGGAAACAAGUCAAGAGCCUGGUGUUAUCACCUUCUCUCUUCCAAAAAACCAAAAAGCUGUUGUGGGGAUUUUAAUGAUCCAAAGCAGUCAGAAUUUUAGGAUUUUAUCUUACAUCUGAAGGAUGAGCCUUCCACCAGCCCUGCAGCACUGUCCACUGCAGUGCAGGGCAUCACUUAGCACUCAGCCAGGCUGACACCCCUUUGCUGAUGCAAUGGCAGUGCCUGAAUCAGCUGAGGGUUUCUUGGAGUCCUCCCAGGCAGGUAUUGAUCAGACAUAACUGGUUAGCACUUACCAGAUAACAAGAUAACAGGCAGGAAGGUUGCAACAGUAGGACAGGUGUUUUUUCAGACAGAGUUGGUAUUUUUAGACUGUCAACGGCAUGCACUACAAUCAUAUUUAUUUGGAAAAAUAUGUGAAGAUGAGGCAGUGGAAUUAAUUUUU